Molecule: ribosomal RNA, 285 nt
Filed under: Triticum aestivum (bread wheat)
Lineage: Eukaryota; Viridiplantae; Streptophyta; Magnoliopsida; Poales; Poaceae
Description: partial small subunit ribosomal RNA
Source: RNAcentral
GGUUGCAAUCGUCUUGUUGUUAACUCGUACAAUAUAGAAGUGAUUGACACAAUGAAGAAUGCAGGACACUCGGCCGGUGUGGCGGCUAUAGUUUUCUAUGAUUGCUAUUUUUUGGCUUGUGGUUUUUCUUUUAUUAGAUUUGAACAUUGUAACAGGGAAGUAAAUAAGGUGGCUCAUGAAAUUGCUAAGCUAGCGAAUUUUUUUGUUAUUAGUGAUUGGUUUGAGGAGCCUAUGAAUGAGAUUGUACUUUUUUUUAUUGACGAUGUAACAGUUGUUUCUAAUUAA